Molecule: ribosomal RNA, 455 nt
Filed under: uncultured Porphyromonadaceae bacterium
Lineage: Bacteria; Pseudomonadati; Bacteroidota; Bacteroidia; Bacteroidales; Porphyromonadaceae
Description: partial 16S ribosomal RNA
Rfam family: Bacterial small subunit ribosomal RNA
Source: RNAcentral
ACGGGAGGCAGCAGUGAGGAAUAUUGGUCAAUGGGCGAGAGCCUGAACCAGCCAUGUCGCGUGGAGGAAUAAGGAUCUAUGGUUCGUAAACUCCUUUUGCGGGGGGAUAAAGUGCGGGACGUGUCCCGCUUUGCAGGUACCCCGCGAAUAAGCAUCGGCUAACUCCGUGCCAGCAGCCGCGGUAAUACGGAGGAUGCGAGCGUUAUCCGGUUUUAUUGGGUUUAAAGGGUGCGUAGGCGGCCCCUUAAGUCGGCGGUUAAAUGUCCGGGGUCAACCCGGUCACUGCCGUCGAAACUGGGGGUGCUUGAGUGCGUUUGGGGUGGCUGGAAUGUGCGGUGUAGCGGUGAAAUGCAUAGAUAUCGCACAGAACGCCGAUCGCGGAGGCAGGUCACCAAGCCGCAACUGACGCUGAGGCACGAAAGCGCGGGGAUCGAACAGGAUUAGAUACCCUGGUA